This 50-nucleotide transfer RNA is filed under the name Oxyrrhis marina. RNAcentral describes it as "partial tRNA". Lineage: Eukaryota; Dinophyceae; Oxyrrhinales; Oxyrrhinaceae. The record is from RNAcentral.
GUAGUUAAGAGACCAGGCUGGUAACCUGAGGGUCGUAGGUUCGAGUCCGG